GAACACAAAAUGGCGACACGUGGUUAGCAUUCGUCGCCAACGAGAAAUUGGGGUCGGCCCGAAAGCUCUAGAAUGCACCCCUCUUCCUCCCCGGGGCCUUCCACCUCCGCGAGUUUUAUGACUUAAAAAAGCCCACAGGCUGGUCUGAAGGUCGGAGGCCUAAUUUUAACGCGUUUUCCUCCCUUUAAUUUGAAACGGGAACGCGAAUGACUGUAAAAUAGGAAGACAAACAUAAAGAUGAAGUGCUUAAUUCAAGGUCACACAAUGUCGGGGAUGGACCUCCAGAUUUCCUUACUGGAAAACAAGCUCAGGGCUCCCACUGAUUGUACAUUAUGAGACGGAGUCUUGCUAUGUUGCCCAGGCUGGUCUUGAACUCCUCACCUCAAGCGAUCCUCCCGUCUUGGCCUCCCAAGUGUCAGGAUUACGGGCAUGUGCUAUCACACCCAACCUGAUACAUUGCCUUUAUAAAUUUUUUUUUCUUUAUUCUAAAAACCAGAAAAAACAAAACUGGAUACAUGUGCAGAACAUGCAGGUUUGUUACAUAGCUGUACGUGUGCCAUGGUGGUUUGCUGCACCUAUUGACCUAUCCUGUGAGACGUGGUCUUGUAACACAGUGGUUAAGAAUGUGACUUUGGAGCCAGCCUGCUAGGGGCUGAAUUCUGACUCAGCCAUUUACUAACUGUGUGACCUUAGGCUGGAGUGCAAUGGCAUGAUCUCGGCUCAUCACAACCUCUGCUUCCUGGGUUCAAGCGAUUCUCCUGCCUCAGCCUCCCGAGUACCUGGGACUACAGGCACUCGCCACCAUGCCCGGCUGAUUUUUGUAUUUUUAAUAGAGAUGGUUUCACUAUGUUGGCCAGGCUGGUCUCGAACUCCUGACCUUGUGAUCUGCCCACCUCAGCCUCGAAAAGUGCUGGGAUUACAGGCGUGAGCCACUGCGCCCAGCCUUGUAUUUUUUUUCAGUUUGGGUAGCUGUCCCUAAUUCAUUUGUUAAAGGAGAAGCAAGAGCAAGAACCUUUAAUCUGUUCUCCUCUUCCCUAAUUUGAAAGUAGCUUGUUAUUUUGAAUAUCACUUUCUCUGAAAUAGCACAUCUCCAUCUCAGAGAAUGGAUUUAAUGUUUGGAUACAGCCAAAAGUCAUUUCAUUACCAAACCAUGGGGUGAAUAUACCAUGUAAAGCAGUUUGGGAUCAGAACUCACAGUCUGAAUUGUAAGUGAUGAGACUGCUGUCUCUCUGCUACAGCUUCUUGGCUGGCUCUGAAGGCUCUUUGAAGGCAGAUCCUAACAAGGGGACUGCUUUGAAGGGCCAUUGUUCAUUUGGAAUGAUAAAGUCUAUGUUGUUCAAAAAACAAAUGCUUGUAGCAGGUAUUUUUUCACUCCAGACUGAGAAUAUUGGUGGGAUAUUGAUAAGGGGUACUGAAUGGUAAUAAACAUGUGCUCUAGCUCUGUGCUAGUCAGCUUAUUUCAGAACUCUAGUUUGAUUCAGUUUCUUGCCUCUGACUCAAAAUGGAGGGAGAGUGAUUUUUACAUAAGAGAACACACCCACAUAUCCUUUUGGCAGCAGCUACCUGCCAGAGAUGUUGAAGAAGAGUAGCCAACCUUUACACAGCAGAUAUUGUGUGCCAGUCAUAGUCCUAAGUAUAAUACCUUACAUGUAUAAACUUCUUAUAAGGUUGGUGCUCUGUACCGAAUUGAAUAGUAUCCCCCAAAAUUCAUGUUGUCCCAGAACCUAUGAAAGUGAUCUUACUUGAGGGAGGGGGGAGGGGGGAGGGAUAGCAUUAGGAGAUAUACCUAAUGCUAAAUGACGAGUUAAUGGGUGUAGCACACCAGCAUGGCACAUGUAUACAUAUGUAACUAACCUGCACAUUGUGCACAUGUACCCUAAAACUUAAAGUAUAAUAAUAAUAAAAUAAAAAAAAAAAAGAAAGUGAUCUUACUUGGAAAUAAGGUCUUUGCACAUAUGAUCAAGUUGAGAUGAAGUUGUACUGGAAAGUCUGUCUAGUGACUGGUGUUGUCAUAAGAAGAGAGGGACACAGAGGGAAGAUGGCCACAUGAAGAUGGAGGCAGAGAUUGCAGUUAUGCUGCUGCAAACUAAGGAAUGGCUCUGGCCCUCCAAGGAUUGCUGAUAACCACCAGAAACUAGAAGAGACAAGGAAGGAUUCUUCCCUAGAGCCUUCAGAGGGAGCAUGGCCCUACUGACACCUGGAUUUCAAACUUGUAGCUUCCUAAACUGCAAG
This 2232-nucleotide long non-coding RNA is filed under the name Homo sapiens (human). Its description in RNAcentral is "PCBP1 antisense RNA 1". The record is from RNAcentral. Lineage: Eukaryota; Metazoa; Chordata; Mammalia; Primates; Hominidae.